Molecule: long non-coding RNA, 1232 nt
Filed under: Bos taurus (domestic cattle)
Lineage: Eukaryota; Metazoa; Chordata; Mammalia; Artiodactyla; Bovidae
Description: long non-coding RNA NONBTAT022417
Source: RNAcentral
CCACAGUCAAAAAGGAUCAUUUUGAAAGGUUAACAAGCACUUUAUUGCAAUUAUUCAUUUUGAUAAAGUUUAUUAUCUUAGAUAUUACCAUUUCUAAAGGAUCCCCAACUCAUCACUUAGGUGAAAUUUUUAAAUGACAUUUCUGAGAAAUGUUUAGAUCCAGUGAACCAUAGUAGGUUUAAGGGAGUGAUUUCAAGGUAGCCAAAUGAACUUUGACUUUUGUUUUGAAUGUGGUAGAGUCAAGGGAUUGUAGAUGCCUAGUUCCAUUUAGACACUAUUGUAAACCUAUCUUGCCUAUUGUGUGGACACCAAAAGAGACCAAUGAGCCUGUUUGUUUUCAGAGGUCUAGGAGAAUUGCAUCAGUGUGAAAUAGAUGUAUAGAACUAACCUAAAAGUGAUUGGUAGUCAUAUUUUAGAAUACAGUAAUUUCAAGAAUUCUGUUUUAAAUGUGCUCUGAAAUGUUGGCAUGUCAUUUCAGUGUUCCAUUUGAAUUGCUCUUGUAAUGUUUUUGCACAAAAAGAACUGAGAAAUACUACUUUGGUUGAAGAAAAGGAAAAAAAUAAUUUGGUCAUAUUUUAAUGUCUCCUGUGGAAACACUGGGGGGUGAAUUUUGUUGGUACAGUUAUUUUCAGGAUAUUUGAAACAGUAUUGAACAGCUCACAAAUUAAGCAACCGUGAAUGGAUUGAAAAAUUAAAACUCUUUCCAUGUGACUGUUUUGCAUACUUUAUCCCCAUGUCAUAAUUUAACACUACAUUCCUUGUUUUUCUUAAAUAAAAUAACUUUGCGGGUUCUGUUUUUGAGUAUUUAGCAAGUUAUUUUCUAAGCUGCCCUGGUUUUCCUAGGGAAAACGUUCUUAGGUGAAAUAGGAUAUAGUUUAUGAAAAGACAUUAAAUGAAAUCCCAUCACCACCACCAGCAAACACUGAGGUGCUGCAUUAAGUGACAAUCAAAAUAGUAUUUAUAGGAGAAUUGAGAAAAGGGUUUUUAAAGAAGCAGUUGCUUUGAAAGUAGUUGUCUGGGUUUCUUGAAUAAAAAUGGCUAAAUGGUGCCCCCAAGGCUCCCCUCCUGUUCUCAACUUAGUUAAGAAAAAGUAAAAGUAACGCCAACUGUUUUCUAGUUUCACUUGCUGCCUUUUCUAUUUAAUGGGCACUUUUUAUAUAACUUCCCCAACGCAGCCAAAGGCCAGUAUGACAGAACCCAUGGCACACGUUGCCUGUUUUGCCCAUUUGGAA